UACGAACUGUGCGAACGUUAUUCGGAAUCACUGGGCUUAAAGGGUGCGUAGGCGGCUGUUUAAGUAGGGUGUGAAAGCCCCCGGCUCAACCGGGGAAUUGCGCCCUAAACUGGACAGCUUGAGUGAGGUAGGGGUGUACGGAACUUCCGGUGGAGCGGUGAAAUGUGUUGAUAUCGGAAGGAACGCCGGUAGCGAAAGCGGUACACUGGGUCUCAACUGACGCUGAGGCACGAAAGCCAGGGGAGCGAAC
RNAcentral lists this ribosomal RNA (250 nucleotides) under uncultured bacterium. RNAcentral describes it as "partial 16S ribosomal RNA". It matches the Rfam family "Bacterial small subunit ribosomal RNA", at positions 524 to 773 of the family's 1533-position model. The record is from RNAcentral.